GGCCACUGCAAUUGCUAUUUUGCGAUUAUUGGGUCUACAUUAUGUCACUGCCAUAUCAUGUCGAGUAUUGCUGUGAAACUGAAUUGCUUUCAUCAAUCGCUCUUUCCUCAUUAGCACAAUGAUAUAUAUUGAGGGCAUAUCUCCAAUUGUAAACCUUUGAUUUAUCUGCAUGUCAUUUAGUUUUUUAACUCCCCUUUCACACCAUAGUACUUUGGUCAUUACAAUUUAUGUGGCUCCGAUA
This is a non-coding RNA of Pelobates cultripes (western spadefoot toad), 241 nucleotides long. Lineage: Eukaryota; Metazoa; Chordata; Amphibia; Anura; Pelobatidae. The record is from the annotation of a GenBank genome assembly.